UAUCACUCCUACGGGAGGCAGCAGUGGGGGAAUAUUGCACAAUGGGGGGAAAACCCCUGAUGCAGCCAUGCCGCGUGUGUGAAGAAGGCCUUCGGGUUGUAAAGCACUUUCAGUAGGGAGGAAGGUAGUGUAGUUAACACCUGCACUAUUUGACGUUACCUACAGAAGAAGCACCGGCUAACUCCGUGCCAGCAGCCGCGGUAAUACGGAGGGUGCGAGCGUUAAUCGGAAUUACUGGGCGUAAAGCGCAUGCAGGCGGCCUGUUAAGUCAGAUGUGAAAGCCCGGGGCUUAACCUCGGAAUUGCAUUUGAAACUGGCAGGCUAGAGUCUUGUAGAGGGGGUAGAAUUUCAGGUGUAGCGGUGAAAUGCGUAGAGAUCUGAAGGAAUACCAGUGGCGAAGGCGGCCCCCUGGACAAAGACUGACGCUCAGAUGCGAAAGCGUGGGGAGCAAACAGGAUUAGAUACCCCUGGUAG
This 474-nucleotide ribosomal RNA is filed under the name uncultured bacterium. RNAcentral's name for it is "bacterial SSU rRNA". It matches the Rfam family "Bacterial small subunit ribosomal RNA", at positions 331 to 793 of the family's 1533-position model. The record is from RNAcentral.